This 2401-nucleotide ribosomal RNA is filed under the name Staphylococcus aureus B147830. RNAcentral's name for it is "bacterial LSU rRNA". It matches the Rfam family "Bacterial large subunit ribosomal RNA", at positions 517 to 2925 of the family's 2925-position model. Lineage: Bacteria; Bacillati; Bacillota; Bacilli; Caryophanales; Staphylococcaceae. The record is from RNAcentral.
AAAAGCACCCCGGAAGGGGAGUGAAAUAGAACCUGAAACCGUGUGCUUACAAGUAGUCAGAGCCCGUUAAUGGGUGAUGGCGUGCCUUUUGUAGAAUGAACCGGCGAGUUACGAUUUGAUGCAAGGUUAAGCAGUAAAUGUGGAGCCGUAGCGAAAGCGAGUCUGAAUAGGGCGUUUAGUAUUUGGUCGUAGACCCGAAACCAGGUGAUCUACCCUUGGUCAGGUUGAAGUUCAGGUAACACUGAAUGGAGGACCGAACCGACUUACGUUGAAAAGUGAGCGGAUGAACUGAGGGUAGCGGAGAAAUUCCAAUCGAACCUGGAGAUAGCUGGUUCUCUCCGAAAUAGCUUUAGGGCUAGCCUCAAGUGAUGAUUAUUGGAGGUAGAGCACUGUUUGGACGAGGGGCCCCUCUCGGGUUACCGAAUUCAGACAAACUCCGAAUGCCAAUUAAUUUAACUUGGGAGUCAGAACAUGGGUGAUAAGGUCCGUGUUCGAAAGGGAAACAGCCCAGACCACCAGCUAAGGUCCCAAAAUAUAUGUUAAGUGGAAAAGGAUGUGGCGUUGCCCAGACAACUAGGAUGUUGGCUUAGAAGCAGCCAUCAUUUAAAGAGUGCGUAAUAGCUCACUAGUCGAGUGACACUGCGCCGAAAAUGUACCGGGGCUAAACAUAUUACCGAAGCUGUGGAUUGUCCUUUGGACAAUGGUAGGAGAGCGUUCUAAGGGCGUUGAAGCAUGAUCGUAAGGACAUGUGGAGCGCUUAGAAGUGAGAAUGCCGGUGUGAGUAGCGAAAGACGGGUGAGAAUCCCGUCCACCGAUUGACUAAGGUUUCCAGAGGAAGGCUCGUCCGCUCUGGGUUAGUCGGGUCCUAAGCUGAGGCCGACAGGCGUAGGCGAUGGAUAACAGGUUGAUAUUCCUGUACCACCUAUAAUCGUUUUAAUCGAUGGGGGGACGCAGUAGGAUAGGCGAAGCGUGCGAUUGGAUUGCACGUCUAAGCAGUAAGGCUGAGUAUUAGGCAAAUCCGGUACUCGUUAAGGCUGAGCUGUGAUGGGGAGAAGACAUUGAGUCUUCGAGUCGUUGAUUUCACACUGCCGAGAAAAGCCUCUAGAUAGAAAAUAGGUGCCCGUACCGCAAACCGACACAGGUAGUCAAGAUGAGAAUUCUAAGGUGAGCGAGCGAACUCUCGUUAAGGAACUCGGCAAAAUGACCCCGUAACUUCGGGAGAAGGGGUGCUCUUUAGGGUUAACGCCCAGAAGAGCCGCAGUGAAUAGGCCCAAGCGACUGUUUAUCAAAAACACAGGUCUCUGCUAAACCGUAAGGUGAUGUAUAGGGGCUGACGCCUGCCCGGUGCUGGAAGGUUAAGAGGAGUGGUUAGCUUCUGCGAAGCUACGAAUCGAAGCCCCAGUAAACGGCGGCCGUAACUAUAACGGUCCUAAGGUAGCGAAAUUCCUUGUCGGGUAAGUUCCGACCCGCACGAAAGGCGUAACGAUUUGGGCACUGUCUCAACGAGAGACUCGGUGAAAUCAUAGUACCUGUGAAGAUGCAGGUUACCCGCGACAGGACGGAAAGACCCCGUGGAGCUUUACUGUAGCCUGAUAUUGAAAUUCGGCACAGCUUGUACAGGAUAGGUAGGAGCCUUUGAAACGUGAGCGCUAGCUUACGUGGAGGCGCUGGUGGGAUACUACCCUAGCUGUGUUGGCUUUCUAACCCGCACCACUUAUCGUGGUGGGAGACAGUGUCAAGCGGGCAGUUUGACUGGGGCGGUCGCCUCCUAAAAGGUAACGGAGGCGCUCAAAGGUUCCCUCAGAAUGGUUGGAAAUCAUUCAUAGAGUGUAAAGGCAUAAGGGAGCUUGACUGCGAGACCUACAAGUCGAGCAGGGUCGAAAGACGGACUUAGUGAUCCGGUGGUUCCGCAUGGAAGGGCCAUCGCUCAACGGAUAAAAGCUACCCCGGGGAUAACAGGCUUAUCUCCCCCAAGAGUUCACAUCGACGGGGAGGUUUGGCACCUCGAUGUCGGCUCAUCGCAUCCUGGGGCUGUAGUCGGUCCCAAGGGUUGGGCUGUUCGCCCAUUAAAGCGGUACGCGAGCUGGGUUCAGAACGUCGUGAGACAGUUCGGUCCCUAUCCGUCGUGGGCGUAGGAAAUUUGAGAGGAGCUGUCCUUAGUACGAGAGGACCGGGAUGGACAUACCUCUGGUGUACCAGUUGUCGUGCCAACGGCAUAGCUGGGUAGCUAUGUGUGGACGGGAUAAGUGCUGAAAGCAUCUAAGCAUGAAGCCCCCCUCAAGAUGAGAUUUCCCAACUUCGGUUAUAAGAUCCCUCAAAGAUGAUGAGGUUAAUAGGUUCGAGGUGGAAGCAUGGUGACAUGUGGAGCUGACGAAUACUAAUCGAUCGAAGACUUAAUCAA